RNAcentral lists this ribosomal RNA (255 nucleotides) under uncultured bacterium. RNAcentral's name for it is "partial 16S ribosomal RNA". It matches the Rfam family "Bacterial small subunit ribosomal RNA", at positions 524 to 776 of the family's 1533-position model. The record is from RNAcentral.
UACGGGGGGGAGCAAGCGUUGUUCGGAUUUACUGGGCGUAAAGGGCGCGUAGGCGGUCGUGACAAGUCACUUGUGAAAUCUCCGGGCUUAACUCGGAACGGUCAAGUGAUACUGUCGGACUAGAGUACAGAAGGGGCAACUGGAAUUCUCGGUGUAGCGGUGAAAUGCGUAGAUAUUGGGAAGAACACCGGUGGCGAAAGCGCCUUGCUGGGUCUGCACUGACACUGAGGGACGAAAGCUAGGGGAGCGAAAGGG